AAGGUAGCAUAAUCACUUGUUCUUUAAUUGAGAACUAGAAUGAACGGUCUAACAAAAUCAAUUUAUCUAAUGAGCCUAAAAAAACUUGAGUUUUUAGUAAAAACACUAAAAUAAAUAAGGGGGACGAUAAGACCCUAGAAGCUUUAUAAAUAUCUCAUGCUUAUUCUUGUAAUAAUAAAAGUGUGACUUAAUAUAUUUAACUGGGGUAGUGAUUCUAAAAAAACUAGAAGUUGAGUUAACCAAAGAUUAUAAGAUCCUUUCAAUAAGGAUAAAUAGCUUAAGUUACUCUAGGGAUAACAGCAUAAUAGACACGAAGAGACCAUAUUUAUGUGUCUGAUUGUGACCUCGAUGUUGAAUUAAGAUCCCCCUGUGAAGCAAAAUACAUAGAACGGGAGUUUGUUCAACUCUUAAAAUCUUACAUGAUCUGAGUUCAAACCGG
RNAcentral lists this ribosomal RNA (439 nucleotides) under Allorchestes angusta. RNAcentral describes it as "partial 16S ribosomal RNA". It matches the Rfam family "Bacterial large subunit ribosomal RNA", at positions 1953 to 2619 of the family's 2925-position model. Lineage: Eukaryota; Metazoa; Arthropoda; Malacostraca; Amphipoda; Dogielinotidae. The record is from RNAcentral.